Molecule: long non-coding RNA, 392 nt
Organism: Oreochromis aureus
Lineage: Eukaryota; Metazoa; Chordata; Actinopteri; Cichliformes; Cichlidae
Exons: 3
Source: RefSeq, a predicted model, not a curated record
GGGAGACCUCAGUGUCAGAUCUUUCAUUUGAGCUACCAACAUCAUCUGAGAGCAUGGAAAUAAUUAUUGAUGUUGAUGCUGAUACUGACAUCGAUAUAAUCACUCCUGAAAGUUCAUACUCUGAUGCUGCUGACCCAGAUGUGCCAUCACUCAAACGAACUGACAGCAUAUUUCUUACCAGUGAAUACCUGCAGUCAAUCUCCAAGGUGGCUGACACACCAGAAGCUUCUGGAAGUUGUAUUGAAAGCACUGAUGAUGAAUAUAUUCCAUCAAAAGACUCAGGGAAUGAAAGUAGUUCAGAGGGAUUUGACAGUCCUGCAAAAAGGGUCCCAUUGUUGAAAAUUAAGAAAACAAAGAAGUCACAAAAGACUUCCAGAAGAAAAACACUUCCA